Molecule: ribosomal RNA, 564 nt
Filed under: Triticum aestivum (bread wheat)
Lineage: Eukaryota; Viridiplantae; Streptophyta; Magnoliopsida; Poales; Poaceae
Description: partial small subunit ribosomal RNA
Source: RNAcentral
AUGGCGCAUGGUCAACCUUCGGUUUCCUCUUAUCAGUUGACCCUAUCCGAAUUAGCUAAACAACAGUUGUGUGAGCCAGCAACUGAUGAAUUGGCUAACCCGGUACUUGUCCAUUCAACAUUACCACGGGGAACUUUGGAUUCUUCCCUCCGUGGAUGGCACUCUGAGCAUUCGUUUCAUGCCUUGUGUUUCCAUCCAAUGGCACCCAUUCCUCAAGCUGAUCUAGACUUUACUUUAGGGACCAUGAUAAUAUCACAAAAAUUGGGCUGGGAGUAUCAUGAAAUCCAGUAUGUCAAACGUCCAAAGGGUUAUACUCAAUGGGGUGUUGAGGUCUUAAACAAUCAUUAUUUUAAUCUUAAAGUGGGUGAAGAAAAUAUGGACUAUAUUCGUGGCGCCAUUUAUUGUUCCCUUUGCGAUUAUUCUGUCAGCCCCUCUUUGCUCCGCUCUUUACUAGAGAGGUGGAGUCCUCAAACCAAUACUUUCAUGCUCUCGUGUGGCGAACGCACCAUCACUUUGCUUGAUUUGUUGCUUAUGGCUGGGCUGCCUAUAGUUGGCGAACCCUAG